GAUGAACGCUAGCUACAGGCUUAACACAUGCAAGUCGAGGGGUAACGAGAGGAAAGCUUGCUUUCCUUGUCGACGACCGGCGCACGGGUGAGUAACGCGUAUCCAACCUGCCCCCAACUAAGGAAUAACCUUGCGAAAGUAAGACUAAUACCCUAUAAUUUCCUCAGAUGACAUCUGACGAGGAAUAAAGAUUUAUCGGUUGUGGAUGGGGAUGCGUCUGAUUAGCUUGUUGGCGGGGUAACGGCCCACCAAGGCAACGAUCAGUAGGGGUUCUGAGAGGAAGGUCCCCCACAUUGGAAAUGAGACCCGGUCCAAACUCCUACGGGAGGCAGCAGUGAGGAAUAUUGGUCAAUGGGCGGAAGCCUGAACCAGCCAAGUAGCGUGCAGGAUGACGGCCCUAUGGGUUGUAAACUGCUUUUAUACAGGAAUAAAGUUAGCCACGUGUGGUUAUUUGUAGGUACUGUAUGAAUAAGGACCGGCUAAUUCCGUGCCAGCCGCCGCUGUAA
Molecule: ribosomal RNA, 506 nt
Filed under: uncultured bacterium
Lineage: Bacteria
Description: partial 16S ribosomal RNA
Rfam family: Bacterial small subunit ribosomal RNA
Source: RNAcentral